This 3050-nucleotide long non-coding RNA is filed under the name Homo sapiens (human). RNAcentral describes it as "HSALNT0133937". Lineage: Eukaryota; Metazoa; Chordata; Mammalia; Primates; Hominidae. The record is from RNAcentral.
UGAACUCAUUUAUUCAUUCAUCUGCUUUUGACGAAGUGCCUCCUAAGUGCCAGGCACUGUGCUAGGCUCCAGGGUACAGAGAUAAACUUCACAGCCUGGAAGCAUAUAAUUGGACAACAAUCAGUGAAAUUAGCACUUUUAAUGCUCUGAUAGUGGAAAGCACAGAGGACACCAAGCUCUGUUCGGAGAGUGGGGCAGGAAGGGCCAGUUUCUGCCAGUCUUGGGGGAGAAGGAUAGUGGCGACAGUACCACACCCUGCUCAGAGCCAAGGAAUGCUGAUAAACAGAAGCUAUGCCUGCCUGGGUGGACUUUGGAAGGUUAAGUAGAGGGAAUAAAAUAUACACAGGUUAGGCCACUUAAAAGACAAAGUACAUUUCUCCAAUCACAUGUAUUUCCAUAUGGCCAAAAAGAACCGUUUCUAUGGGGAAGAAGUGAGAGAUGAUCAAAGAGAGGAGUGGGACCUUGCACAUCAUGCUAAGGAGUCUGGAUUUUCUCCCAGAGAGCCUGGGAUGCCACCGAAAGAUAUGAUGUAAGGGUGUGACAUGAUCAGGUUUGUGCUUUAGAAAGAGGACUCCCAUUGCAAGGAGGAGAGAUGGAAUUGUGGUUGGGAAGUCAUCCAAGACUGAGGAUGAGAGAAGAAUCCAUGCAGACGGUUGUUACAGUAAUGAUGGGUGCCGGGGGUAGGGGGUGGUCUGGGAGUGGAGCAUGUUUAGAAGGUGGAAUUUGCAGGUCUUGGAAAUGAUUCCAUGAUAGAGGUAAGAGGAAGGGAAGAUAAAAGAAAAGGAGGGGGUAAUCCUCAAUUACUCAUUUUGGUGACUGGGUGGAUGACAAUGACAUUUGCUGAAUAAAAAUAUUCAGUGUGAGAAGCAGAUUUGCAAGGGAGAAAUGACAGGCUCACUUUCAGAGCGGUUGAGUCUCCAGUGCUUGCGAGCUGCAAAAGAGAGGAAGCUGAGAAAGCAGCUCCAGGAAGUGGCUCCACAGCACAGGAGCGAGGCCUGGCAGGGACAGCCUGACAUGUGGAUUCCAGUUAGCCUUUGCAUGCCACUCAGUCCUAGCCCUGGGGGAGAAGACUAGUGGCUAGGGUGCCACACUCUGCAAGCAACUCAGGAGGGUAUUUGAGGCUGACUGCCUGCAGGAACGUGGCUACUUAAGUGAGGAUCCUGGCUCAGUCCUUCCUCUAGAGAAAGUUGUGGUCCAGUUGGGAGAAGGGUUCCCAGGUCACCCAAGCAGUCGGCAGAAGAGCCAAUGCCUGUCUCUAAGCCGUGUAUGUUCAGCUCCCUCACUGAAGACCUCUCAAGGGAAGGAAAGCCAACAGCCAUUCAUCGAGCAUUUAUUGUGAGUACCAGACCCUGCACAGGAGUUUGAACUAGGAGUGGCUCUCAGUUAAUCUUCAUCACAAGUUUACGAAGUCCAAACGCCCAUUUCACAGGUGAGGAAAGAGCAUGAGAAGAGACGAAGACACAGGAAAUGGGGAUGGGGACAUGGGGAAUAGUAACAGCUUAGUCUGGCAAGUGUUAGUGGGGUAGCCCUGGAUCUUGGGAACAUGCCUCCCUCUUUUGUCCUUGACUUUCUCAUCUGAGUAUGAGAGAGCUGGACUUAAUGACCUCUGAGUUCUAUUCCAGUUCUUUUUCACUCUCAGAGUAAUGCAUGAUCCCCAGGAAAGUCCCCUCCACUGGAGGAGGAUGUCCAAAACAUUCCUGUUGGACCACAGUUCUCUCUGGGGAAGCAACCUGGGCUUCACUUUCCCGUGGCUGCCCAGUCUCACCCACAACAUGGCAGCACCAAGAUUUUAAGACAGGGUCCUGUGGGACUUGCAACAAAGCACCAGAUGAGAGAUUCAGCCUGCAUACAUCCUAGGAGAUUUGCCUGGGCUGCAUGCUCCAGGUUUUGGGCUAGGACAGGGGAGAAGGUGAAACUAAGGGCGGGUUUGGAAGGAGGAGUCAAACCACAAAGAAAAUCCUACAGGCUUUCUUCUGGGAAUGUUCUCUGUGGUCUGGGAGUACAGGCAGUUCUAGAGUCUUCCCAAGAGAAAACAUACUUGUUAUCCCCCUUUCAAGAAAGCAAAGACAUGCACCUUCAGAAUUCACAGAUCUUGUUGUCUUUUUGCCCCCCAGUGGAAUCCAGGCGAUCCCCUGCGAUGAUUCUCAAGCUCUAAUUUGAGCAGCUGGACCUCUUGAACUCUGGUAUGUGGAAGUGGAGCUGCUUGCCAGCCUUUAGAGAAGGGUGCAGCAGAGAUUCGCCCUCCCUCAGUUCACACCCACUUUGUUCCAGGGUGGGGCGUCCAUUGCAAACGACAAAACCAACAAGACAAAAUACAAUCACGGGCAGUACAACUCAACUCGCUCAAACAACCAGGAAUUUUACAAUCUCACAGCAUGGAAAAUCCAAAGACAGGUGGCUCUGUUGACUUCACGUCCUCACAGGAUGAGGCUGUUCUUUGUUUUGUUUCUGAUGCUCUGCCACAUUCAGAAUGUUCAAGAUGAGGGUAACUUCUCCAGGUCUCUCCCAUCGGGGUCACAAGACAGCUGCCAUUCACUGAGAAAGACAUGGAGUCGUUCAUUCUUGCCAUCUUUUUAAAAAACAGAACUUCCCCGGGAGCUCUCCAACCCCUGCAGCCCUCAUCGGCCCGGGAUGCUUGACACACACAAGUUAUGCCUUGCCAAAACCCAUCGUCUGCACUCAGGACAGGGUACGGCUGUGCAGCCCUGAAUGAGAUAACUAAGUGGAGAAUGGUGGAUGUCUAAACUCAGUGCAGGCUCAGUUAGGAAAGGAGAAGGCUUUCCUGCCCAGGAUCUGGUACUCACAAUAAAUGCUCGAUGAAUGGCUGUUGGCUCUCCUUCCCUUGAGAGGUCUUCAGUGAGGGAGACGAACAUACGUGGCUUAGAGGCAGGAAAGGGUGUGAAUUGCACAGACAAAUGGCAUCAUGCGCUAAAGAGGGCCCAGCUUCCCUAGGCCCGGCGGACUUGGCUUCUCACCUGGCUCUCCAACUAACUGGUGCUCAUCUGCUUGGCUUUCCACCAACCAAUUGCCUUUUUUCUCUUUCAUCCAGC